AAGAAUCUUUCCUCCUCUCUCUUCAUUAGAUUUCGCCACUUAGAACGAAUCUAGCUGUUCUAAAAUUCUAUAAGUUGCUCUUCGCCUUCCCUUCCUCUCUAUACUUUCAUUUCUUCCAUUUUCAAAGGUUUAGAGAGAGAGAUAUGUAUAGUAAAUUAGUGAAAGAAGAAGAGAAAGAAAGGAAAAAAGUGAAGAAAAAAGCAUCAAGGUUUCGGUAAGG
This 220-nucleotide long non-coding RNA is filed under the name Carica papaya (papaya). Its description in RNAcentral is "long non-coding RNA (CPAP_LNC003492)". Lineage: Eukaryota; Viridiplantae; Streptophyta; Magnoliopsida; Brassicales; Caricaceae. The record is from RNAcentral.